AUUGAACGCUGGCGGCAGGCUUAACACAUGCAAGUCGAGCGGGGGAAGGUAGCUUGCUACCGGACCUAGCGGCGGACGGGUGAGUAAUGCUUAGGAAUCUGCCUAUUAGUGGGGGACAACAUCUCGAAAGGGAUGCUAAUACCGCAUACGUCCUACGGGAGAAAGCAGGGGAUCUUCGGACCUUGCGCUAAUAGAUGAGCCUAAGUCGGAUUAGCUAGUUGGUGGGGUAAAGGCCUACCAAGGCGACGAUCUGUAGCGGGUCUGAGAGGAUGAUCCGCCACACUGGGACUGAGAAACGGGCCAGACUCCGACGGGAGGCAGCAGUGGGGAAUAUUGGACAAUGGGGGGAACCCUGAUCCAGCCAUGCCGCGUGUGUGAAGAAGGCCUUAUGGUUGUAAAGCACUUUAAGCGAGGAGGAGGCUACUCUAGUUAAUACCUAGGGAUAGUGGACGUUACUCGCAGAAUAAGCACCGGCUAACUCUGUGCCAGCAGCCGCGGUAA
RNAcentral lists this ribosomal RNA (501 nucleotides) under uncultured bacterium. Its description in RNAcentral is "partial 16S ribosomal RNA". It matches the Rfam family "Bacterial small subunit ribosomal RNA", at positions 30 to 523 of the family's 1533-position model. The record is from RNAcentral.